GACGAACGCUGGCGGCGUGCUUAACACAUGCAAGCCGAACGGAAAGGCCCUGCUUUUGUGGGGUGCUCGAGUGGCGAACGGGUGAGUAACACGUGAGUAACCUGCCCUUGACUUUGGGAUAACUUCAGGAAACUGGGGCUAAUACCGGAUAGGAGCUCCUGCUGCAUGGUGGGGGUUGGAAAGUUUCGGCGGUUGGGGAUGGACUCGCGGCUUAUCAGCUUGUUGGUGGGGUAGUGGCUUACCAAGGCUUUGACGGGUAGCCGGCCUGAGAGGGUGACCGGCCACAUUGGGACUGAGAUACGGCCCAGACUCCUACGGGAGGCAGCAGUGGGGAAUAUUGCACAAUGGGCGGAAGCCUGAUGCAGCAACGCCGCGUGCGGUAUGACGGCCUUCGGGUUGUAAACCGCUUUCGCCUGUGACGAAGCGUGAGUGACGGUAAUGGGUAAAGAAGCACCGGCUAACUACGUG
RNAcentral lists this ribosomal RNA (468 nucleotides) under uncultured bacterium. RNAcentral describes it as "partial 16S ribosomal RNA". It matches the Rfam family "Bacterial small subunit ribosomal RNA", at positions 28 to 507 of the family's 1533-position model. The record is from RNAcentral.